AUGAAGACUCCAUACGAAAGAGUGACAGUGAAGGCAAAGGUGAUUCAACUGCAAAGCCAUGGACACAAUGUUGUUCACGACAGCACAUUUCUCCAGAACACAUACUACACAAUUGCAGAUGAAAAAGCAGCAAUCGAUUUGACCGUAUGGGGUGACAGCAAAGUUACAACUGACUGCUGGUACGAGAUCUCAAAUGUUUCCAUACGCACCUUCAAAGAUAAACUGCUUUUAACUACAACCAAAGACACAAACUUCACUAUACUGAGCUGCCGAAAUCCCAUUCAUCCUGUGGAGAACACCACCACCCAAACUGUCACAGCAGACAUAAUUGGAGCAACAGUACACCUAAUUCAUAUCUGUCCACUGCAACACAAGAUCGCCAACAUGCCCUUGUCCGCUUCAAGAGUGAAUUGGCAAAAAUGUGAGAUGUUCUACAAGUCCUCUUCAGUCACCACAUACACGUAUGGAACUAUCACCGUCAAAACCACCAAAGGGGUUCAGACCCUGAACAUCGAGAACCAUAGCAUCGAGUCCAUUGUAAACAUCACACACAACUCCACUACAGACCACAUUAUAGACGCUAUACUUGCACUGCCCCCUGUCAACAUAUCCAUAUACAAAAACAACAUAACAAACAUAUCACUCCAACAAGACACCCAUUCCAUACAGACACCGAAAAUCACAAUCACACGACCUAUGGACUCGUCUCAAAGCCUCUAUGCAACCGAUCUAGAGAACCGAAUGGCUGACGACUUCCUCACUUCCACCCCAUCUACAUCAACAGCAACCACUUCAGCUUCAUCAGCCAUCAUACCACCCACAGAAUUACCAACAGUAUUAAGGUCAUUCAUAUUAAGAAAGUGUGUCUACAAGUGACCUAAAGUUUAAGCAUUUUAAAUCUAAUAUUUUAUUUUGUUAAACUUUCUUCAGAACUAAAACCAGAACCAGUUCCAACCAGGAAAAAUCACCCCAAUGAAGGAGAUUAGCCCACUUAACUACUCAAACGUCUGCUGUGAGCUUCUGGGAGGUGGUGUGCUUCGCUCCUGCUAUUUUUUCUUUUUAUUAGUAACUUUUCUGUUGCAUUUACUAUGACAUCGGUCAAAUCUACUUUAAUUUCUCAAUUGUUGUGUAACAAUAAAUGUAAUAGCAAACACCACUAAUCAUUUAGAAUAAAAAUAACUGACCAUAUUCAUAGUUGUUUUGUAAAACAGUUAUAUCACCAAAGAAGAAGAAAAUAAAACUGAUAAAAAUAAGUAAAUAAAUAUAAGUGGAUGAUUACAGAGUAUAUUAUUUUGAACUUCCAAAAGUCCAAGAUAGGUCCCCAUUUGGCUUCAAAUCUUUUUUGUGAGCCAAGCUUACCAAAAUGUAAUUGUUCCAUUUGGAUAAUAUAAAGCAUCUCGUUUAACCGUCUUUAAAAACAAGGAGCUUGUGAAGUUUUCCAAUUGAGGAGUAUUACCUUCUUGGCUGUGAUUAAGCCUACCAUUAGAGCGUGCUGAUGAGUAUGCGGGAUAGUAUCAUAACAUCAGAAUAGCUGAAAAUAGCCAGACUGUGGUCAGGUUGAAUGUUAAUUCUGUAUGCGCUUGAAAACAAUUCAAAAAUGUUAGACCAAAAAUCAUACAGAAUAGGGCAAAACCAAAAUAAAUGUGCCAAUGUCCCUUCCUCCAUCUUGGACCUAUCACACUGAGGAUAAAUGCAGGGAAAUAUUUUGUUCAAUCUAGUUUUGGAGUAAUGAAUGCGAUGCAUAACUUUGAACUGGAUUAAUUUAUAUCUCGAAUUUACAGAACAGCUCUUGUUUCUCGACAGGCCUUCUUCCCAGAUCUCAUCAGACACGUUGUCUUUCACGUCAGUAGACCUGGCUAUUUUAAGGUGUUUGUAAAAGCAUGAACAAAACGAGAUACCAAAUGUCUAGCUUCAGGAUUAGAAGAUAAAAGUUCAUGAAUAAUAUGGUUUUCAGGUUUAUUUAUAAAAUGUGGAAUAUUUUUCUUAACAUAAUUUCUAAUUUCCAAAUAACAGGAGAAGUGAGACUGUGGGAGUACAAAUGUAUUUUUAAGUUGCAAAAAGGACGCAAAUUGAUCUUCUAUAUAGAGAUCUCCUAUACAGCAUAAACCUUUUUUUCUCCAUCCUGAAAAAGCUCCAUCAAUCAGAGAAUGCUCAAACGAAGGAUUGCAUGAUAUUGGUGUAUUGAUUGAGACUUUUGGUAGUUUAUAACAAUUUUUGAUCUGAUUCAAAAUCUUCAAAGAAUUUCUCAACACAAAAUUAAUGCUGCCUAAUUUACAGAUAGAUUUACACUCUGUAAAAAGAGAAGACUCUGAGAGAAGACUCUGGUGCUGACAAAGCCUCUGCACGAACCCAUAGAGGAGAAGUCUCAG
Cyprinus carpio carpio is the source of this 2369-nucleotide long non-coding RNA. The record is from Ensembl. Lineage: Eukaryota; Metazoa; Chordata; Actinopteri; Cypriniformes; Cyprinidae.